This 509-nucleotide ribosomal RNA is filed under the name uncultured bacterium. Its description in RNAcentral is "bacterial SSU rRNA". It matches the Rfam family "Bacterial small subunit ribosomal RNA", at positions 8 to 486 of the family's 1533-position model. The record is from RNAcentral.
AGAGUUUGAUCCUGGCUCAGAACGAACGCUGGCGGCGUGCUUAACACAUGCAAGUCGAACGCGAAAUUUUUUCUUCGGAGAAAAGAGUAGAGUGGCGCACGGGUGAGUAACGCGUAAAUAAUCUACCCCUGCAUUCGGGAUAACCCACCGAAAGGUGAGCUAAUACCGGAUACGUUCUUUUUAUCGCGAGAUAAAAAGAAGAAAGGUGGCCUCUGAUAUAAGCUACUGUGCGGGGAGGAGUUUGCGUACCAUUAGCUAGUUGGUAGGGUAAUGGCCUACCAAGGCAACGAUGGUUAGCGGGUCUGAGAGGAUGAUCCGCCACACUGGAACUGGAACACGGACCAGACUCCUACGGGAGGCAGCAGUGAGGAAUAUUGCGCAAUGGGGGCAACCCUGACGCAGCGACGCCGCGUGGAUGAUGAAGGCCUUCGGGUCGUAAAAUCCCUGUCAGAUGGAAAAGAAAUGUAUAUGUAUUAACAAGUAUGUAUGCUUUGACGGUACCAUCAAAG